Molecule: small nucleolar RNA, 185 nt
Filed under: Echeneis naucrates (live sharksucker)
Lineage: Eukaryota; Metazoa; Chordata; Actinopteri; Carangiformes; Echeneidae
Description: Small nucleolar RNA SNORA23 (ENSENLG00000010711.1)
Rfam family: Small nucleolar RNA SNORA23
About the family: The members of this family belong to the H/ACA class of snoRNAs which are thought to guide the sites of modification of uridines to pseudouridines.
Source: Rfam by way of RNAcentral
GGUGAAUGGUGUGCACAGUGUUGGUCUGUGUUAUGUGCUGUUGCUGGAUUGUGUUUUGCAGUCUUGGUAGCAAUGCUCACUCCACACCUGUAGCCAUAGAACAACUGGAGAUCAUAGUACUGGCCCUUGACGUUCUUUUUUUCAGACCUCUCACCAUCGGCCAGCCUCCAAAUUCUCCAACAUUU